GACGAACGCUGGCGGCGUGCUUAACACAUGCAAGUCGAACGGAAAGGCCCUGCUUUUGUGGGGUGCUCGAGUGGCGAACGGGUGAGUAACACGUGAGUAACCUGCCCUUGACUUUGGGAUAACUUCAGGAAACUGGGGCUAAUACCGGAUAGGAGCUCCUGCUGCAUGGUGGGGGUUGGAAAGUUUCGGCGGUUGGGGAUGGACUCGCGGCUUAUCAGCUUGUUGGUGGGGUAGUGGCUUACCAAGGCUUUGACGGGUAGCCGGCCUGAGAGGGUGACCGGCAACAUUGGGACUGAGAUACGGCCCAGACUCCUACGGGAGGCAGCAGUGGGGAAUAUUGCACAAUGGGCGGAAGCCUGAUGCAGCAACGCCGCGUGCGGGAUGACGGCCCUCGGGUUGUAAACCGCUUUCGCCUGUGACGAAGCGUGAGUGACGGUAAUGGGUAAAGAAGCACCGGCUAACUACGUG
RNAcentral lists this ribosomal RNA (468 nucleotides) under uncultured bacterium. RNAcentral's name for it is "partial 16S ribosomal RNA". It matches the Rfam family "Bacterial small subunit ribosomal RNA", at positions 28 to 507 of the family's 1533-position model. The record is from RNAcentral.